Molecule: RNA transcript, 2017 nt
Organism: Ricinus communis (castor bean)
Lineage: Eukaryota; Viridiplantae; Streptophyta; Magnoliopsida; Malpighiales; Euphorbiaceae
Gene name: glucan endo-1,3-beta-glucosidase 5
Exons: 3
Source: RefSeq, a predicted model, not a curated record
ACUUUACUCUUUCUACCGUUAACACUUUACACCGCUUUCCAUUCUCUAUAAAUUAAGCACUCACUCACUUGUCACCCUCCCAACUCACCACCGCAACAGCCACCGGCAAAUCACAGACCCAUUUCCCAUACUUAUGGAGAUGAAUAUAACUGGUGGCUAAAAGAAAAAAGAAAAAUAUUUUCAGCGCUCUGUUCAAAGACAGACAAGAAUGUCAGGUUUCAGAGCAACUUUCUUUUAUUUGAUAAUAGUGCUUUUGGACUAUACUAUAGGAGCAGAAUCAGGAAUAGGAGUAAACUGGGGAACGGUGUCGUUUCGAAAGCUGAAGCCAUCAACAGUUGUGGAUCUGUUAAAAGAUAACAAUAUACAGAAAGUGAAGUUAUUUGAUACAGACCCAGAUGUGAUGAAAGCUUUAGUGGGCAGUGGCAUUCAAGUUAUGGUCGGCAUUCCUAAUGAGAUGUUGGCUUCUCUUAGCUCUUCUACUGCUGUUUCUGAUAUGUGGGUUCGUCAGAAUAUUUCCACUUAUUUGGUUAAAGGUGGUGUUGAUAUCAGGUACAUCGCUGUAGGAAAUGAACCAUUUCUUUCAAGUUACUCCGGUCAAUUUCAAUCCUAUGUGGUCCCCGCUCUGCAAAAUCUUCAGCAGUCUUUGGCUAAAGCAAAUCUUGCUGGUUAUGUGAAGCUGGUGGUCCCUUGCAAUGCUGAUGCAUACGAAUCCUCCCUUCCUUCUCAAGGAACAUUCCGACCUGAGUUAACAGAUAUUAUGACUCAGCUUGUUUCCUUCCUCAAUUCUAACGGUUCACCUUUUGUUGUCAAUAUAUACCCAUUUCUUAGCCUCUAUGGGAGCACAGAUUUUCCACAAGACUAUGCAUUUUUUGGAGGGAGUACCCAUCCUGUUACAGAUGGGAAUAAUGUUUAUGACAAUGCAUUUGAUGGGAAUUUUGAUACCUUAGUUGCAGCCCUCAGUAAAAUUGGAUAUGGUCAGAUGCCUAUAGUUAUUGGGGAGGUGGGUUGGCCAACUGAUGGAGCCAUCAGUGCAAACCUUACUGCCGCAAGAGCAUUCAAUCAGGGCCUCAUAAAACAAGUUUUGAGUAACAAAGGCACCCCUCUUAGGCCAGGUUCUCCACCCUUGGAUAUUUAUCUUUUCAGUCUACUUGAUGAAGGGGCGAAGAGCACUCUCCCAGGGAAUUUUGAAAGGCAUUGGGGGAUUUUCUCCUUUGAUGGCCAGGCUAAAUAUUCAUUGAACCUUGGUUUGGGCAACAGGUUAUUAAAGAAUGCAAGAAAUGUUCAGUAUCUUCCGUCUAGAUGGUGUGUGGCAGACCCUGCAAAAGAUCUGUCUAAUGUGGCAAACCACUUGAGAAUUGCCUGUAGUGUUGCAGAUUGCACAACACUUAAUUAUGGGGGAUCAUGCAAUGAAAUUGGAGCAAAGGGAAAUAUCUCUUAUGCAUUCAACAGUUACUAUCAGCUUCAGGAUCAGGACGCACAAAGCUGUGAUUUCGAUGGGCUUGGCAUGGUGACUUUUUUAGAUCCAUCAGUUGGUGAUUGCAGGUUUCUUGUUGGUGUUACUGAUACUAGUUCUUCAGAUUUUAGACUGUAUCAUAGGUGGACUGUCAUUUGCAGUUGGACGCUGUGGGGGAUGUUGGUCUUUCUAAUAUAAGAAGUUUCCUUAAGUGGGUUUUUCAGGGUCCCCUCUUUUGAAACUAUUAGUGGUAUACAUAGGUGCGAACGUACACGUGAAAACUUCAUUGAUUCUUCAAUUGGAGAAGCAACAGCCAUCUCCACAGCAGGCCUUUCCACAUCAGAGGUUUGGAACCCGUCGAACGGAAAAGCAGCAGCAACAACCUUCAAGUUAAUAUCACACCAAUCGUUAGUACAUUGCAACUGGUAGUAAUGCAAAAUCUGGAGCUUUUUUUCUAGAACACGUGGGAUUGAGCUGUUUUCCUUUUCUUUUUUAUUUGCCCCUAAUCAAUAUAAUAAGAAAUGAAUCUCUCUUUGUUUACUAAUUCAUUUAGUUUUCCUUUUA